CAAAAAUAUUCAUUUAUUCAUAUUUCUGUGUAUAUGGGAGACAAAGUGCUCUUUCUCCACGACAUCUAGUAUAUACGUACAUAUAUAUAUGUAUAUAUAUAUAUAUAUGUAUAUAUAUAUAUAUAUAUAUAUGUAUAUAUAUAUGUAUGUAUCAAAAGAACACCGUGUACGUUAAUCGUUUUUUUUUCUGCACAUUUGCUGAGGAUGUUUGUGUGGCAGACAGUCGCUGCUUCUUGUGAGAGAACAUUGGUUUCUGUCUCGUCCGAGAAUCUGCUUCUUCUCUCUGAACUUGCUUUCACUGACUAGCGAACGUCUGCCUUUCUCCGAUCUCUGUGUCGUCUUGUUUCCCCGCUGUCCUCCUCCUCUCUCCUCUGACUUCUUUGUGUCCGUUCUCCUCGGUUUCUUCGUACUUCUCCCGCUGCGGUUUUGCUCGUCUCUUCUUUCUCUUGUGACUUUGUUCUCUCCUCUCGCUCUGUCGCUUCUUGUGGCUGGUCGUUUUUUCUCCGGUUUCUGCCGGCUUGCUUCUCUGUUCGAAUGCGACUUUUUUCAUCUCGGGAAACGACCGCAGAAGCAGGAGUCCGCGUUCGCGAAGACGGAGGGAAGACAAAGAGAGACGAAACAGUUGGCAUCCUUUACGCAGAGCAGACGUUUUUUUUGCGUCUGGUUCUCGCAGUCCAAACGGAAUGCACAGGGAAAAUACGCAAUCGUUGUUCGUUUCAUCGAAAAAGUGCAGACCUUUGUCUGCAUUUUGAAACCGGUGGCAUGGGAGAGUCGCGCCGUCGGAGGCAGAGCUCGAGGGUGUGAGACACACAGCAGACGAGAGCGAUGCAGGAGGAGCGACUCUCGGCGGAGACAGCGACAGACGCGCCUCUGUCGCAGAAGAGCGAGGAGACGAAAGCCAUUCGCAAAGACAAGUUGCGCGCCAUGGUGGUCUCCCACAAGGCAAACAGACCUUGCCGUUUGAGGGACUGCGGAAGAGACGCGUGAGAGGACAGAGCCGGCGACAACCGCCGCAUGCAAGCGGAGAGAAGAGGCAUCCAGAAAAGAAAGCAAAGGAAGCAGAUGGAGAGGCGAGAGACAGGGCGCGUUCAAGCCUCGUCCAGUGCUUCUCCUAAAAGGAAGGCAACUGAGACAAGCAAAGGAAGGAAUCGAGGGAACAGAGACAGAAAGGAAGCUGAGAGCAGAGAAACAGACGAAACCUGUUCUCAGGACUGGGCGAUCUGGAUCUGACGGUCGGGCGACAUCGAACGUCGCCUGGGAGGCGACGCGUUCCACCGGCGUCGGCAGAGCGAGACGGCAAGAACACUGGUCGCCAUUGGGGAAAGCGAAAGAGGACGGAGAAGAAGUCGAGGAGACCUCUCAGUGAAGAAAGAAAAGGAACCACAGGAUGACGACGACGACCACGACGAAAAGCGCCCAGAGGAGACACCUGGAGGGAAACGCAGAAGCGAAGAGGCUAAUCUCUCAGUGACAACAGAUGCAGGAAACGUCCACUUCAAGGGCAGUGCAUGCGGUGGAGAAGAGGAGAGCGAGGCAGAGAUGAAGCGAAACGAGAGGGAUAAACCUCGCGACAGGCGGCCGAACAAAAGGCGCGAGGAGGCACCAAAAAACUCGUCAAGAGACAGACGGAAAGACAGCGCGAAUGACAGGCCGCCGCGCCGCAGACGGGGACGCGGAAAGCGAGAACAACCCAGAGGAGAAAACGAAAAUCGAAGAACCUCCGGAAAAAUGGAACUCACUUUCUGCGUGUGGCGGCGCACCUCAGGCGCCGCGCAUGCACCAGCUCGCGGGCGGCCUGGUCCGAGGAGUCUCUGGUGGAAUCCAAGAGAGUCGCGACGCCAUCUGGAGGAGAACAGCGGUGGAGAAAACAGAGGCGGAAAAGGCAGGGAUGUGCCGAGAGAAGAAGAGAGGAGAGGAGGAAGGCGAAAAAAAUGGGGAACAGAAAGAAGGAAGAGAGGGAGAAAAGCGGGCAACCGAACGGCAGGAACGUCGAAAAGGAGAGCGGAGAGGAAGGACGGAGACGCAAGUAGGAAGAAGAGAAGAAGGAAAACGAACAGGAAAACGAUGCGAACUACGAACACUAGCAAGAAGAGGAAAACGAGUGGAAAGAACGGUCUCUCUACAUGUCGCAGCACUGAAGCAAGAAUGACACCCAACAACUUACAGAAACAACGAAAAAACGAAGAAGAAACGCUAGAAAUCAGAGACACGACGCGCUGUGCCUGUUCCAAAUACUGUCCUCAAGAAAAGAAAACGGACGCCAUCUUUGCGUCCUUUCAGACAGAAAAUCACCUGCACAUGCGUGAAACCGAAAACAUGGAAAAACGCACACUUACAAAUAUCGAUUGACAAAGGUCUACGCAAACGCAAAAACUCUUGCAACAAUACAUAUACAGGAUACAUGCGUAUACGCAGAGACAGCCA
Molecule: long non-coding RNA, 2424 nt
Filed under: Toxoplasma gondii VEG
Lineage: Eukaryota; Apicomplexa; Conoidasida; Eucoccidiorida; Sarcocystidae
Source: RNAcentral